Molecule: non-coding RNA, 184 nt
Filed under: Pseudoflavonifractor capillosus
Lineage: Bacteria; Bacillati; Bacillota; Clostridia; Eubacteriales; Oscillospiraceae
Also listed under: 1 other name
Source: RNAcentral
GAAUAAUAGUUCGGACGCGGUGCGGCACACAGCCGCCUAACAGGGAAGACCGGUGAAAAUCCGGCGCAGUCUUACCUCUACUGUAAGCGCAGACGAGAGUGUCAGUCCAUUGGCGAGGAAGCCGAGAAGGGACGCUGGAGGAUGAAGCGCAAGCCAGGAGACCUGCCGCAGUUCGGUACGUACU